RNAcentral lists this ribosomal RNA (490 nucleotides) under uncultured bacterium. Its description in RNAcentral is "partial 16S ribosomal RNA". It matches the Rfam family "Bacterial small subunit ribosomal RNA", at positions 30 to 507 of the family's 1533-position model. The record is from RNAcentral.
AUUGAACGCUGGCGGCAGGCCUAACACAUGCAAGUCGAACGGUAACAGGAAGCAGCUUGCUGCUUUGCUGACGAGUGGCGGACGGGUGAGUAAUGUCUGGGAAACUGCCUGAUGGAGGGGGAUAACUACUGGAAACGGUAGCUAAUACCGCAUAACGUCGCAAGACCAAAGAGGGGGACCUUCGGGCCUCUUGCCAUCGGAUGUGCCCAGAUGGGAUUAGCUAGUAGGUGGGGUAACGGCUCACCUAGGCGACGAUCCCUAGCUGGUCUGAGAGGAUGACCAGCCACACUGGAACUGAGACACGGUCCAGACUCCUACGGGAGGCAGCAGUGGGGAAUAUUGCACAAUGGGCGCAAGCCUGAUGCAGCCAUGCCGCGUGUAUGAAGAAGGCCUUCGGGUUGUAAAGUACUUUCAGCGGGGAGGAAGGGAGUAAAGUUUAUACCUUUGCUCAUUGACGUUACCCGCAGAAGAAGCACCGGCUAACUCCGUG